Molecule: long non-coding RNA, 2204 nt
Organism: Alligator mississippiensis (American alligator)
Lineage: Eukaryota; Metazoa; Chordata; Crocodylia; Alligatoridae
Exons: 2
Source: RefSeq, a predicted model, not a curated record
CAUUCCCUGGUCCUCAAUGACCUGCAGCAUGGACUCUGCACACUCCUCCACCCCCACUGCUUCUGGGCUUGGCUUCCUCAUGGAUGCAGUGCUGCCUCAUUCCUGGCUAAUAAUGGAGCUCCCUGUCGUGUGCAUCUGCUUCUUGGAGAGACCACCAGCCUGGCUCCUUAGGGGCAGGAUACGAGUUCCUGGAUUUCAUGGCCCUGACAAUCCAGUCGGGGCUCCUGGUGCCCAUGGUCCACAGUACAGGAGAUUCCUACAUGGAAAAGAAUGGACACUGCAUUAUCCUAUUACCACUCACCUACUGGAUAGGGGGUGCCUAGGCCUCAUGCUGGUCUCUCUCUCAAGGAAGAAAGUCUUGAAUUUCCAAUUCCAAUAUACCAAACAAGUUAUUGCCUACCAAUGUAGCAGUGGGAUGGGGUUGAGAGAAAAAGCAAGGAGGCUACAUGCAUGGGACACAUACAAAAGCCAUGCAGUUCCAGGUCUGAUAACAUUCUUAAAUAUCCCAACAGCUGAUAAGCUCCAGGGCUUCUGAUAUCCCGCAUAGCACAAGCUGUGUUUUUUGGAACCGUAUCUUUAAGUGUCUUAGCUUCAGAGGCAGGAAGUCUGGGAACAGGCAAAAGACGCUCAUGGUCUGUUAUGCAGAGGUAGCGGGAAUUGGACACUGAAUGAUAUGAAAAUACAACCUGAGUGGAAGGCUAGAGCAACCAAAAGCUCUCCCAGUGCUGAGGCUCUGGAAAUAAGACAGAAAACUGGAAGAGAUUUAUGUAGUGCUUUACUCUGUAUCUGCAAACAAUGGUGCCAGUGAAAAGGAAGAGUCAGGAGGCAGCUUUAUUUUUAAUAGCUGGUUCUGACGCACUUGAUGUAUUUAGCAGUUCUCAAUUAACUCAGGCAGAGAAUGUUAACUGAAGCUAGAGCAGAAAUGUGAGGAGGAUAGCACUCCAUGGAAAAAGUGACAUACAGGAGAGGGUGGAUUUUAACUUGAAGAUACAAAAAGGUGAGACUAUAGGGCUCUGUGGCAGGGUAGCCAGUCUUGCAAAGUUAGAGGGCUAACUGAGAAACUGAGAAAAUGCAGAGAUCACUGGGGGGCUCCGAAUUAACCCUUGCCAAAGCAGUUAGAAUUUUCCAAUUACCCAAUCCAGACUGAAGCAACUGCAGCUUAUGCUUGAAUGCUGUGAUUGAAAAUCCAAAAUACUACAAGAAAGAAAGCUAAGGCAGAAGGCAUAUGAAGCUCAAAGUCAUGGUAAAGUAAGAACAGCGCAUGGAACUAUGCCCACAGUGAUGAACGGCAAAAACCUGGACAAUGCCUGACAUGGCAAAAGACCCUAAAACUGCAGCGGACUAAAUCAUUUUGCAAUGACGUGCAAGAGCCAACAAAACACACACAGCAUGGAUAAGGAAGACAAGAACCACACCAAGGGAAUUUGACCUAAAAGCAAUAGAUACUGCUUUGGCAGAAGAUGACCAGAUUGCCCACUUGAAUGCAACCAAGAAAUGGAAGCCACUAGGUACAACUUGAGGCUCAUCACUGUUAGUGCAUCCUGUUAAAGUAGCAGCAUUUAGUGAGAUCUAUGGUCAGAUAAACACUGGAAAAGAUCAGAUUUGUAAUAGCUCUGGGGAAGGGUGCACCAAUGCUGGGAAAAGUGUUUCAAGCCCUUGAUGUCGUCAAUAGGUACAUGUGCUUAGGGGAGGGACAAGGACCAAAACAAUUGAGGAAGAGUUUGGGAACAUUUUCCAGGAGAUAGGAAAGCUCUCAACAAAGUACAGAACUGAGCUGAGAGACCCUAGGUGUAUUUCACAGGAAUGACAAUUCUGGAUUGUAUGAUAUAAAGGUUUCAUGCACAUUGCAGGACAAAUAGCUUUUUCCAUCAAGCAAUGAUGUUUUAAAAUCAUAUUCCGUGCCAGGAAAUAUUACUGCAACUAAUCUUAAGUAUUACAGAAGAAGCUAGAAAGUUCUCAGAAAUGCCACUCAAGUGCUUAUAUUCAAUACAAAAAUAUAAACCGGCUGCUGGUCAAAAUUUUUCCAUCCGAAUUGUUUUAAAUGGAAAAGGUAUAAAAUUUGUAUCUAUUCUACAGAAAUGUAUAAUUUUUCAUUGGAAAACUAGCAACUGAAAAUCAAAACAUCCUAGCUGAAACUUAUUUUGGUUUGGGGUUAAAAAGCUAAUUAUUUUAAUUUAUGCCACAAAUAAAGAAAUUCAUUAAAA